AAAAAAAUUUUUUUUUCCCCCCCCCAGGGGGGAAUUUGACCGAGCAACGCCGCGUGAAUGACGAAGUACUUCGGUAUGUAAAGUUCUUUUAUCAAGGAAGAAAAGCAAAUGGCGAACCAUUUGUUUGCCGGUACUUGAUGAAUAAGCCCCGGCUAAUUAUGUGCCAGCAGCCGCGGUAAGACAUAAGGGGCAAGUGUUAUCCGGAAUUAUUGGGCGUAAAGGGUGCGUAGGCGGUCUAGUAAGUCAGUGGUGUAAUGGCAACGCUUAACGUUGUCCGGCUAUUGAAACUGCUAAACUUGAGUUAGAUAGAGGCGAGUGGAAUUCCAUGUGUAGCGGUAAAAUGCGUAAAUAUAUGGAGGAACACCAGAGGCGUAGGCGGCUCGCUGGGUCUUAACUGACGCUGAGGCACGAAAGCGUGGGGAGCAAACAGGAUUAGAUACCCUGGUAGUCCACGCCGUAAACGAUGAGUACUAAGUGUCGGGUUAAACCGGUACUGAAGUUAACACAUUAAGUACUCCGCCUGAGUAGUACGUACGCAAGUAUGAAACUUAAAGGAAUUGACGGGACUCCGCACAAGCGGUGGAUCAUGUUGUUUAAUUCGAAGAUACCCGAAAAACCUUACCAGGUCUUGACAUGUUUUUGCAAAAUGAUAGUAAUAUCGUGGAGGUUACCAGAAACACAGGUGGUGCAUGGUUGUCGUCAGCUCGUGUCGUGAGAUGUUAGGUUAAGUCCUAAAACGAGCGAAACCCUUAUCGUUAGUUGCCAGCACGUUAUGGUGGGGACUUUAACGAGACUGCCAAUGAUAAAUUGGAGGAAGGUGAGGAUCACGUCAAAUCAGCAUGCCCCUUAUG
This 851-nucleotide ribosomal RNA is filed under the name 'Allium cepa' phytoplasma. RNAcentral describes it as "bacterial SSU rRNA". It matches the Rfam family "Bacterial small subunit ribosomal RNA", at positions 373 to 1206 of the family's 1533-position model. Lineage: Bacteria; Bacillati; Mycoplasmatota; Mollicutes; Acholeplasmatales; Acholeplasmataceae. The record is from RNAcentral.